GUUUGACCUCAAAUCAGGUAGGAGUGCCCGCUGAU
Molecule: ribosomal RNA, 35 nt
Filed under: Saccharomyces cerevisiae (brewer's yeast)
Lineage: Eukaryota; Fungi; Ascomycota; Saccharomycetes; Saccharomycetales; Saccharomycetaceae
Description: partial 26S ribosomal RNA
Source: RNAcentral